RNAcentral lists this non-coding RNA (33 nucleotides) under unclassified sequences. Its description in RNAcentral is "DUF805b RNA". It matches the Rfam family "DUF805b RNA". Rfam says of the family: Bacteroidetes, Chlorobi (1 example), Proteobacteria. Lineage (Flavobacteria) The record is from RNAcentral.
GUAGGGGAAGCCGAAAACCUCAUAGAGUAGGUA